Molecule: long non-coding RNA, 1132 nt
Filed under: Xyrichtys novacula (pearly razorfish)
Lineage: Eukaryota; Metazoa; Chordata; Actinopteri; Labriformes; Labridae
Source: RNAcentral
CUUGGAGCUGGAGUUGAACCAGCGACCUUUGGACUACAGCGUUUCAGGAAUUUCUUACAGUCCUCUGCUCUACCAACUGAGCUAUGAAGCUGCUUAUAUAUACAAAUGCAGAAAACAUAGUGGCUUCGGUGACACACUUUGCCAACAAUACAAUAGGACGCACAUGGUCAACGAAAAAGGUUGAACAGUGCAUAGACCAAUGAAAUCUAGUGUUUGGAGCAGGAGUUGAACCAGCGACCUUUGGACCACAGCGUUUCAGGAACUUCUUAAAGUCAUGUGCUCUACCAACUGAGCUAUGAAGGUGCUUAUAGAUACAAACGCAGAAAACAUAGUGGCUUCGGCGACACACUUUGCCAACAAUACAAUUGGACCCACAUGGUCAAUGAAAAAGGUUGAACAGUGCAUAUACCAAUGAAAUCUGGUGUUUGGAGCAGGAGUUGAACCAGCGACCUUUGGACCACAGCGUUUCAGAAACUUCUUAAAGUCCUCUGCUCUACCAACUGAGCUAUGAAGGUGCUUAUAGAUACAAACGCAGAAAACAUAGUGGCUUCGGCGACACACUUUGCCAACAAUACAAUUGGACCCACAUGGUCAAUGAAAAAGGUUGAACAGUGCAUAUACCAAUGAAAUCUGGUGUUUGGAGCAGGAGUUGAACCAGCGACCUUUGGACCACAGGGUUUCAGGAACUUCUUAAAGUCAUGUGCUCUACCAACUGAGCUAUGAAGGUGCUUAUAGAUACAAACGCAGAAAACAUAGUGGCUUCGGCGACACACUUUGCCAACAAUACAAUUGGACCCACAUGGUCAAUGAAAAAGGUUGAACAGUGCAUAGACCAAUGAAAUCUGGUGUUUGGAGCUGGAGUUGAACCAGGCACCUUUGGACCACAGCGUUUCAGGAACUUCUUAAAGUCAUGUGCUCUACCAACUGAGCUAUGAAGGUGCUUAUAGAUACAAACGCAGAAAACAUAGUGGCUUUGGCGACACACUUUGCCAACAAUACAAUUGGACCCACAUGGUCAAUGAAAAAGGUUGAACAGUGCAUACACCAAUGAAAUCUAGUGUUUGGAGCAGGAGUUGAACCAGCGACCUUUGGACCACAGCGUUUCAGGAACUUCUUACAGUACUCUGCUCUA